GGAAGAUGGAGCGCCUGCGAUGGGAACGGAGAGGUAUUCCUGCAGAUAUGCUGGCAGAUACGGGCUCGUCUUAUCUUCAGACACGUCCUUCAAGAGAAGAAGUAGGGAGGAGGAUGAAAACGGCGGACCAUAACGUGGAGCGUCCUGUUGAGGAAAAAAAAGCAUGGGGGAAGAGAGGUGCCCUCCGCCUGAGGAGGGGACCCCGUGCGUGGCGGUGAGAUUGGGCUUAGCCCUCGAGUUUUCGAGGGUUCCCCUUGCGUGCGGGUGCAGCUGGGGUGCCCUCCGCCUGAGGAGGGGACCCCGUGCGUGGCGGUGAGAUGGGGCUUAGCCCUCGAGUUUUCGAGGGUUCCCCUUGCGUGCGGGUGCAGCUGGGGUGCCCUCCCCCUCAGGACGGGACCCCGUGCUUGGGGCAUGAGCCCCUAGUGAAGGGGUCUCUGCCCUGAAUGCCUGUCUGUGGGUACCUGUUGCUUGUUGCUUUUCCAGCUGCUCUGUCUGCUCCGUAGCUGCCGUGGUCUUGCUGCUGUUUGGGCUCUGGCUCUGCUAGCGUCUUCAUGCCCAUCUGCUGGCUGAGGUCCAUGUGGAUGUGUCCUAGACUGAGCUUCUACCUGGCCUUGCUCUUUGUCUGUAAGAUCUCUUGUUUCACAAGCUCUGUUUGUUCAACUUUCUGAUAUCUCGGUAAAAAGAAAUAGAAGCGCAAGUUAUUUACUUGCAACUUGUGUCUUCUGCGGUUCUGCAUCGUUCUUUCAGCCUACUCCCUCCCAUCUUUAUUUUCUAUUAGCUGUCCGUUACUAUCUUGCCCGUACUGACCGAAUUAUGAUUUGACCACACUUACUUUUACAGUAAGCUGUACGUUUGCAGAAGCUUGCAGAGCUUUCCAUGAAAAAGAGCGGUGCCACAGCUCCUGAGGAGGAAACCGGGACGGAGAUCAGGUUCGGGAUCCCUGAGCCGAGCCCCAGCACCGCCUCCUCUCUCGCUCAACGGGCGAAGCAGACGGGCAGCGACCAAAGCUGCCGAUCGCCUUAAGGCCGGAGGCAGUGCCGGCACUCGGGAGGAUGGGAGAGCCCGGGGCCACUCGGCUCGAAGCGCUUCCCGCCCGCCCGGCCCGUUUCCCCACCUGGCAGCGCGGCGUCGGGUCGGCUCCGGGUGCGGCACGCCGGCUUCUGAGCGGCGUCACGGCAAGAAAGCCGCUAGCAACGGCACGCGUUCUAACGGGCUGCC
This 1218-nucleotide long non-coding RNA is filed under the name Chrysolophus pictus (golden pheasant). Its description in RNAcentral is "lncRNA (ENSCPIG00010003747.1)". Lineage: Eukaryota; Metazoa; Chordata; Aves; Galliformes; Phasianidae. The record is from RNAcentral.